Molecule: long non-coding RNA, 674 nt
Filed under: Medicago truncatula (barrel medic)
Lineage: Eukaryota; Viridiplantae; Streptophyta; Magnoliopsida; Fabales; Fabaceae
Description: long non-coding RNA (MTRU_LNC004010)
Source: RNAcentral
UUAGCUAAUCUAAAAGAAUCUCUGACAUUGAAAUGGAUUUAAACAAUAAGAUGGCUCAGACUUCAAACAGGAGAAAGAUUCAAAGAACUGCAUACUGUAUCUUGAACUAAAAAGUUAAAAGUUGAUUCUAUGAUGCCAAGUGUUCUACAUGAAAGACUAAGGAGUCUAGAUCUCUAUUACAGCAUGCAGUAAACCAACAAAAGCAAGUACAUAAUUAAAACGUUAUAAUCACGAAGAACAGCUUAAGUUUUUAAGCUAGCUGAAUUCUAAACAGAGUACCAAAGCAUUGGUGUCACCCUCUUCCUAUAAAGUUAAAUUUCAACAAAUGUUUUGGGUUCACAUGUAUUUUGCUCAGAAGACUUGACGCGACGAGGAACCAUGUUGCCUCCUAUUUGGAUUCAAUCCCAAGCAUGCUUAAAGCAUUGUCUUCUAAAAACAUAAGAGGAGGGUACCCCUGUUGUUCUUGAAUUUUUGUUGCUUGUCUUUGUAAACAAAGAAUAGUGCAAGAAAGUUUCACAGUUGAAAAUAUAAUAAAAACAUAAGUCUCAAGUCAUCAUCUUACUCAAGGGUAACCAAACAUAACCUGAGAUGGAGAGAUAACCAUUGAAUGAUAUACCUUUAAGAAUAAGGAACAUAAACUCAAAUCACUUGCAUUUUCUAUCAUAGAUGGUUAA